UUAGGAUGAAGAAGCAAUCCCACUUUCAAAUCAGGUGAUUCCAGUUUUCCUGUUUGGGAAUAUGACAACUUCUUCGUCAUUUUAAUCAAACCAGGAUGAACCGCGAUGUAAGAAGCUGUAUUUGGACACAUAAAGUAGUGGAGAAUCACCAGAAGCUAUCCCACUUUCAAAUCAGGUGAUUCCAGUUUUCCUGUUUGGGAAUAUGACAAUUUCUUCAUCAUUUUAAUCAAACCAGGAUGAACCGCGAUGU
RNAcentral lists this long non-coding RNA (250 nucleotides) under Brassica napus (rape). RNAcentral's name for it is "long non-coding RNA (BNAP_LNC015594)". Lineage: Eukaryota; Viridiplantae; Streptophyta; Magnoliopsida; Brassicales; Brassicaceae. The record is from RNAcentral.